AUUGAACGCUGGCGGAAUGCUUUACACAUGCAAGUCGAACGGCAGCACGGGGCAACCUGGUGGCGAGUGGCGAACGGGUGAGUAAUACAUCGGAACGUGCCCAAUCGUGGGGGAUAACGUAGCGAAAGUUACGCUAAUACCGCAUACGAUCUACGGAUGAAAGCGGGGGAUCGCAAGACCUCGUGCGAAUGGAGCGGCCGAUGUCAGAUUAGGUAGUUGGUGGGGUAAAGGCUCACCAAGCCAACGAUCUGUAGCUGGUCUGAGAGGACGACCAGCCACACUGGAACUGAGACACGGUCCAGACUCCUACGGGAGGCAGCAGUGGGGAAUUUUGGACAAUAGGCACAAGCCUGAUCCAGCCAUUCCGCGUGCAGGAUGAAGGCCUU
RNAcentral lists this ribosomal RNA (386 nucleotides) under uncultured bacterium. RNAcentral's name for it is "bacterial SSU rRNA". It matches the Rfam family "Bacterial small subunit ribosomal RNA", at positions 30 to 418 of the family's 1533-position model. The record is from RNAcentral.